UUCAAAGAUAAAGGAAUGAUCGGUGACGUCACAUACAUGAAAGACAAGCACAUUUGCCCAUUGUUAUGGACCAGUGCAAAAACCGCACGGCAACGUUUGCUUGUACUUUUAGUAGUUCUGACCCCACGAAACACCAAAAAGUCAACAAAGGAAAAGACGCCUGAGAUGUCGGUUUUAGUUUAUUGGGUCUACAGGAGAUUUAGUAAUGUUUUGCAGUACUUAGGUCUGUACAAAAAGAGGGGCAAGUUGGUCUUCCUGGGCCUGGACAAUGCUGGCAAAACUACUUUACUGCACAUGUUGAAGGACAACCAUCUUUGCCAGCACGUUCCCACGCAGCAUCCAACGUCUGAAGAGCUGACGAUUGGCGGCAUGAAGUUUACCACCUUCGAUCUGGGAGGACACGUGCAAGCUCGGCGAUUGUGGAGGAACUACCUGCCCGCCGUGAACGCGGUGGUCUUCAUAGUGGACUGCGCCGACCACAGCAGGCUAGAUGAGUCCAAGACAGAGCUGGAUGCCCUGCUGGCAGACGACACUAUCGCCAACCUGCCCGUGAUGGUGCUGGGUAACAAAAUCGAUCGUCCGGAGGCCAUCGGCGAAGCCUGCAUGCGAAGGGUUUUCACACUGGAUGGAAAAGUCACCGGAAAGGGGAAUGUGAAAAUUAAGGAGUGCAACGUGCGACCAUUAGAGGUGUUCAUGUGCAGCGUGUUGAAGAGACAAGGCUACGGCGAUGGAUUCAGGUGGUUGUCGCAGUACAUGGACUGAUGACUCAGCAGUUCUUGGACUAUUUGCAACAAUAUUCAUCACGAUUCAAACAUUAAAAAAAAAAAAGGGUGGAAUCUGCUCGAUAUGACCAAUAAUAUAUGCAAGGAUUUUGCCAAAGAAAAACUUUACAGGGUUUGUUGGGAGUUAUUUUGCAUGUAUGCUUAAUAAAUGCAUGUAAUAUGAAUGGAAAUGUAUGCACAGCUGACUGUGUUUGUGCAAAUGUGCUGCACUUAAACAAAACAGCAGGUCAGAGGUGCAUGCUGUGUUCAAAUGUUUUCAUGAAAAUAGUUUUUUUUUUUUAGUUUGGUGAAUUCUAAAAUAAUGCCCAAAAUCUUGCAUCAGCAUUGUUCUUUGUUUUAUGGAUGAGCAUGAUGAAGGGCUUCAGCAACAGUUUGACGAGCAUUUAAGCACAUUGAACUAUGAAAAAAGAAAAAGUUGAUCAAAGUCACAGGUGUCAAACUCAAGGUCCGGGGGCCAAAUCUGGCCCGCCACAUUGUUUUAUGUGGCCCGCGAAAGCCUGGAAAUAAUAUGCAUUAAUAAAAUACUUAAUCUUUUCUUACUAAAUAUAUUUGUUCUUUUCAUUUUGACAUUAAAAAUCAUGUACUGCAUGCAAUUGCAUAUCUUUUAAAAUUCAAUAUUAUCAACAUCUAAAUAUUAUUUUAUCAUAUAUUAAAAACAUUUUUUUGUUAAAAUAAAGAUAAAUACUGUACUUAAAUAUCUGCUUGACUUAUGAUUUCAAAACAAUUUAUCAAUCAAAUUGACAAUAGAUUUUGCGGUUAAAUUCUGCCGAUUUAGUUUUUUACCGUAAAAUCAACUUUGGAUAUUGUUUUUUUCCCAUACACUAAAACAUUAAAAAAACAAACAAAAAAAACAUUAAAACAAGAUUUUACGGUAAAAAACAAACAAACUGGCAGCUCUGUUGUUUGAAUUUUACCGCUAAAAACAAUGGUAUUGUUUCUCCAUUCCAUUCCAUUUUUUUAUAUGCUGUAAAAAAAAUCCACUGCUUUUACUGUAAAAUUCUGGUGACUGAGUUGCCAGUUUUUAAAGUAACAUUUUAAAUAUAUUUAUUUAUAGCUUAUGUAAAAAAAUAUAUUGUUAAUGUAUAAUAUAUAUAUAUAUAUACAUGUGUGGAGGGAGAUGUUGUCAGCGCUGCCUGCAGGAGCAAAGGUCACCGCCUCUGUCCAUGGUGCUGAGGACAGCACCAUCAGACGGGGGCGUGGCAGUGCUGACGACGAGACACAGCUGCCAGUAAGCGGCCGGGAGCAGGAGGAGAGAGAGGAUACGGACGUGGCUGGAAAGUCUCGUUUGUAAAACAAUUGAUCAUUAAAACCUUGUUAAACCUGCACGCUUGGCUCCUGUGCUAGGAAGCGACUUCCACAACGUGUAUAUUCACAUAUUACUCAUUGUUACAAGCGGCCCUCUGAUGGCAACCAUAACUGAUGUGGCCCUCAAUGAAAACAAGUUUGAUACCCCUGCUCUACAUCAACUUUUUGUGUGUUUCUACAUUGUAGAGAGGGUUUAAAAAUUAAAUUAAAGGGGAUAACGAGAAGCUUCGCUGCCUUUUUGAAAUGUUUUUUUAUUAGUAAAGUGCCGAGCCGAGAAGGUACAUUCUUAACUUCACUAGAACAUGCAACAUCACAAGUAGCACAGAUGGAGAUAUGGGCGGCCAUGUUCUUGUAGAAGGAAAACAACAAACGCUGACUUCAAGUACGACGCACACAACUUCAAGUAAUGCUGCUCAAAUACACGAUAACUUCCCCCGCCGACACUAGAGGGCAGCGACGAGCCACUUCUACUUUAUAAGAUCGGUCGCAUCCUUUCAACUGCCUUAAGCUGAAUAAGGAUGUUCAAAUAGCCGCUACGAGUGUUUGUCCGGAAAAGGGAUGGUGUAGCGUUCUGUGGCUGUGACGGAAAAAGAAAAGAAGAAGAAGAAAGAAUGAAGCAGAGGAAGAGAAACUACUUGUCACCUCGUCGUCGGACCACCGCCAUACGAGCUGGAUUUCACCAUCUUUGAAUCCCUGAAUGAGGUCAGAGGCUGCGACUGGGAUCUCAGGUUAGGAUCCCACGGCUCUACCAGAUGUAACCUCCAUCAUCAGCCUCCUCCUCCUCUUCCUCCUCCUCUUCCGCCUCAUCACCAUGGUCCCCCGCCUCCUUCUCGUCGUCAUCCUCCCAGCCCACCCCGCUCCCAAAGUCGCCGGAGUUUCCCAACACUUCAUCUGAGAAGGAGAGACACAAAGACAUGUUUCUGUUACAAGUCCUGCUGUUUGGCAACAUUCUUCACACAAAAACAUGGAUUUAAUUAUUGUAUGCGUGGGUUCCCUCCGGGUACUCCGGCUUCCUCCCACCUCCAAAGACAUGCACCUGGGGAUAGGCCCCUCCCACCUCCAAAGACAUGCACCUGGGGAUAGGCUGAUUGGCAACACUAAAAUUGGCCCUAGUGUGUGAAUGUGAGUGUGAAUGUUGUCUGUCUGUCUGUGGUGGCCCUGUGAUGAGGUGGUGACAUGUCCAGGGUGUACCCCGCCUUCCGACCGAAUGCAGCUGAAAUAGGCUCCAGCACCCCCCGCAUCAAGAGCCAUUCAAAAAAUCUAUUGGUUUGUGCAUUCAGAAUGCAUUUAAACCAAUGACACAACCUUUUUAACAUUUAAAGAUGCUAGUAAAUGCACUUUAUUUUGAAAAAUUGGACCAAAUUGUUGAAUAAAUAUAUUUUUAAAACUUUUUGAAUGUGUUGAGUAUUUUUUACGGUUUACUCUUUCAAUUAAU
RNA transcript from Entelurus aequoreus (snake pipefish), 3522 nucleotides. It is a transcript of the gene named secretion associated, Ras related GTPase 1Aa, with no coding region annotated. The record is from RefSeq and is a predicted model, not a curated record. The transcript has 8 exons. NCBI's taxonomy places the organism in Eukaryota, Metazoa, Chordata, Actinopteri, Syngnathiformes, Syngnathidae.